AUUGAACGCUGGCGGCAGGCUUAACACAUGCAAGUCGAGCGGGGUGAUGGUGCUCGCACUAUCACUUAGCGGCGGACGGGUGAGUAAUGCUUAGGAAUCUGCCUAUUAGUGGGGGACAACAUCUCGAAAGGGAUGCUAAUACCGCAUACGUCCUACGGGAGAAAGCAGGGGAUCACUUGUGACGUUGCGCUAAUAGAUGAGCCUAAGUCGGAUUAGCUAGUUGGUGGGGUAAAGGCCUACGAAGGCGACGAUCUGUAGCGGGUCUGAGAGGAUGAUCCGCCACACUGGGACUGAGACACGGCCCAGACUCCUACGGGAGGCAGCAGUGGGGAAUAUUGGACAAUGGGGGGAACCCUGAUCCAGCCAUGCCGCGUGUAUGAAGAAGGCCCUAUGGUUGUAAAGCACUUUAAGCGAGGAGGAGGCUCUUUUGGUUAAUACCCAAGAUGAGUGGACGUUACUCGCAGAAUAAGCACCGGCUAACUCUGUGCCAGCCGCCGCCGUAA
RNAcentral lists this ribosomal RNA (503 nucleotides) under uncultured bacterium. RNAcentral's name for it is "partial 16S ribosomal RNA". It matches the Rfam family "Bacterial small subunit ribosomal RNA", at positions 30 to 523 of the family's 1533-position model. The record is from RNAcentral.